Molecule: long non-coding RNA, 461 nt
Organism: Sceloporus undulatus (fence lizard)
Lineage: Eukaryota; Metazoa; Chordata; Lepidosauria; Squamata; Phrynosomatidae
Exons: 3
Source: RefSeq, a predicted model, not a curated record
ACCCAAUUAUGUUGUGUUUUUUUUUUGUCUCGGAGUUCAGGUGUUUCGCCCAGGGGACACUGAGGAAGAGGUCUGAGGAAGAGACCGCCUGCUCGUGCACCAGCUGGAAAAGAAACCUGGUGCCUUUUCAUCUUCAGCUGGUCAAAUUGCUUUCAGGACCAAGCAUUUUUGGAGGAUGGUCUCAUCCUGGGCAACCCAGCAUUCUCUCAGUUGAUACAGCAAAGAUGGGACACCCAAUCUUUUAAUUACAAAAAGACCUCCACCCUCAAGAAAAGAGGAAGCACAGCAAGCAGCCACCCCCAUCAGAGAACAAUGGCAGAAAGUAGGGAGGAAGCAUCCUUGACAAGAAAGGACUGUAUAUUCCCUGGAUUACUACAUAUUCUAUAGUUUUAUUCACUGCUUUCCUACUAAAAUAGAUUUUCCAUGGCUUACCGUUUUUUAAUCUAGUUGGUGAAUCUUCA